ACUGUAUGAGUGGGAAAGAAUCUCUCCACAGUCCACACUUUCACCGGGAUAUUUUUCCAUAUUCGAAAAUAGUGGUUUUUAGAAGCAGAACCCAUUUUGGAGAGAGAAAGAAACAAACGAAAUUCCUGGUUUGUUCAAUACUUCCUUACCUAAUCUACCAGGACCAUGCGCUGGAGAGGAUCCAAAUCCAGUUUGAGUUUUGGUUUCGUAGGAUUUCUAGAAAUCCUCAGCGCAUUGUCAGGAUGAAGGAGAAUUUAAUGUUGGUUGGUUCUCGCGGAUUCUUCUACAAAGGGGAGGUGUUCUCCAUCUUGGCGAUUUGAAAGCCAUCUGUAGUUCUGGUGUUACCAAGCUGGCCCAGUUGCUGCCAUCAUAGAAUGAUGAUUGGGCUCCUCCCCCUUCGGCCUCUCCCCCCUUGGACUCCAUCUGGAAUGCCUUGCUCUCCAUUCCCAGAGGGCCUCCUGGUAGGGGAGACAUUGUUGUUUGGUCAGCCUCUUAGUAGCCUUUUCAACUAUAAAUAAGCUUGGGACUUCAUCAGAGUUUGCGGCCACAUUUCUUCCUGGCAUAAGGUAGCUUGGUUCAAGAGUAAUAUUUCCCGCCACAUCUUCACCAUUUGGCAGGCCCUCUCCAGCUGCUUCUCAAUGCAGUCAUUUCUCAUUCACCUAUAGAUUCCGGUAUCCUCUUCUUGCUGUCUCUGCUAGAACGCUAUGGAAAAUGUGGACUACCUCUUCUUUGCUUGCUCCUUUUCCUCUACAAUUUGGUAUGGGCUUCUCAAUGAACGCUUGCCUUGAAGAAGAAAAACCCUUCCUUUAUUGAGAAAAUGGAUGUAGGUGGAUAUGUCUUAUGUUGGCAAGACAAUUUGUGACGUUGUCGGUGAGCUUUCUUUUGGUUCCACCAUUUACCAUAUUUGGAUGAAGCGCAACCUUAGGAGAUGAUCCUCUAGAUCCUUUAUAUAAAUUUCGAAGUCCAUUUAUUUUGAUGUCGGUAGCAAACUAUUUUCGGACCCCUGUCAGAGCUUCAUUGGUUUUCCAAGGAACGUGCUUAUUAUUGAUUCCUAGGGCCUUCCCCCUCCCCCCUUUUUCAUCCCCCUGUCUCCUUCUCUUGAUGGCUGGGGUCUGCUUUGCUUUUGUAUUGUUUUUCCCUUUUCAACUUCUUUAGGGGCCCCCCUGUAUUCCUCUUAUCUUUUGGUAAUGAAUUCUUUAUUCACCAAGAAAAAAGAAUUUCAAAGUUGUUGUCAUGGUAUGGCUGGAAAAUUAAAUCUGUGAAGUUUAUGAGUAAAAUGAGAUCCCUGUUACUUUAUUCAAGUUUAUUUGUAUGUGGAAAUUACUUGGGUGUCCAUUUUACGUAUAGUGUCAGAGUAUUGCUUGUAUACUAAGAUUAUUCUCCUAGCUUUAUUCUUUACUAA
This is a long non-coding RNA of Macadamia integrifolia, 1402 nucleotides long. RefSeq lists it as uncharacterized. The transcript has 2 exons. Lineage: Eukaryota; Viridiplantae; Streptophyta; Magnoliopsida; Proteales; Proteaceae. The record is from RefSeq and is a predicted model, not a curated record.